Molecule: ribosomal RNA, 108 nt
Filed under: Castor canadensis (American beaver)
Lineage: Eukaryota; Metazoa; Chordata; Mammalia; Rodentia; Castoridae
Source: RNAcentral
GUCUACAGCCAUACCACCCUGAAUGACCCAAUCUCUUCUGCUCUUGGAAGCUAAGUAGGGUCAGGCCUGGUUAGUACUUGGAUAGGAGGAAGAUCAUGAGAGGAGACU